This 396-nucleotide ribosomal RNA is filed under the name uncultured bacterium. RNAcentral describes it as "bacterial SSU rRNA". It matches the Rfam family "Bacterial small subunit ribosomal RNA", at positions 356 to 744 of the family's 1533-position model. The record is from RNAcentral.
GGGGAAUAUUGGACAAUGGGCGCAAGCCUGAUCCAGCCAUGCCGCGUGAGUGAAGAAGGCCCUCGGGUUGUAAAGCUCUUUUGUCCGGAAAGAAAAGCUUUCGGUUAAUACCCGGAAGUCCUGACGGUACCGGAAGAAUAAGCACCGGCUAACUUCGUGCCAGCAGCCGCGGUAAUACGAAGGGUGCAAGCGUUACUCGGAAUUACUGGGCGUAAAGCGUGCGUAGGUGGUUUGUUAAGUCUGAUGUGAAAUCCCUGGGCUCAACCUGGGAAUUGCAUUGGAUACUGGCAGGCUAGAGUGCGGUAGAGGAUGGCGGAAUUCCCGGUGUAGCAGUGAAAUGCGUAGAUAUCGGGAGGAACAUCUGUGGCGAAGGCGGCCAUACUGACCAGCACUGAC